RNAcentral lists this ribosomal RNA (325 nucleotides) under Sphaerotheca breviceps (Indian burrowing frog). RNAcentral's name for it is "partial 12S ribosomal RNA". It matches the Rfam family "Bacterial small subunit ribosomal RNA", at positions 898 to 1407 of the family's 1533-position model. The record is from RNAcentral. Lineage: Eukaryota; Metazoa; Chordata; Amphibia; Anura; Dicroglossidae.
AACCCAAAGGACUUGACGGUGUCCCACCCGACUAGAGGAGCCUGUUCUAUAAUCGAUGGUCCCCGCUUUACCCCACCCCCUCUUGCUUUUCAGUCUGUAUACCUCCGUCGUAAACUUACCACAUGAGUGGUUUAGUCAAAUACCAACACGUCAGGUCAAGGUGCAGCCCACGAGGGGGCAGAAAUGGGCUACAAUUUCUAAGCUAGAACAAACGAAAUACUGCAUGAAAACACAGUCAAGAAGGAGGAUCUAGUAGUAAAGAGAAAAUAGUGUGUUCUCUUAAAUACGGCCCUGGGAUACGUACACACCGCCCGUCGCCCUCUUC